This 5813-nucleotide long non-coding RNA is filed under the name Sus scrofa (pig). Its description in RNAcentral is "lncRNA (ENSSSCG00000041275.2)". The record is from RNAcentral. Lineage: Eukaryota; Metazoa; Chordata; Mammalia; Artiodactyla; Suidae.
CGAUCGCCCGAGUAGAUUGGGUGGAUGCAGAGCUGGCCUGGGGCCCUCCCUGCCCCGCGACUAGGUGGAGAAGCGGUGCACCAAGGCGCAGAAGGAAGUGGAUGAGUCAUUUCUUAGGAUAAGCCCAGUGUGGACAAAUAUGCAGGUGGAACAGGAGGUGUGUGGGCGUUUGUGCUUAAGCUCACAGAUGCUCCCCCUGCAGAUGCCCAGGACCCUGGGUAGAGCCCGGGGACUGCUGGUGAUACCCUCAUGUUGAGAAUGAGGUGAAGAAUUCAGUGUCACCUGGGAACCCAAGUUGUGCCCUGUCCACGGAGGGUGGGGUUGGCAGAGCAUCUGUGCGCCCACUCUUGUCCUUGGCCUGUGAUUUUCACAAGAGGUGGCCAGAGAUCACAGAGUGGAUGCAGCAUUCAUGAGAGUUUCCAAGGAAAAGACCUCAGGAUGAGGAGGAAUGGCCGAUGUGUCUGUUGGAGCAAGGAUACGGUUGGCCCUGUAGGUGCAGCAGGCAGCAGGCCUGCCUAAGAAGGUGUGUGAACGGAACAGCAAACACAAGCACCGUGCAGAAAACACACUUGCGGGACAUGGCCAUCCGGAAGCGCUGAGGGAUGGGAAGGGGGAGCAGCCGCUCCCAAGGCCUCAAAACAUGCUUCCCCUCAGCGUGGUGACCUGUGCCCUGGAGGCGACCUUAACCAGGUGACCGUGUCCUUCUGCUGGGUCUGGGAUAACUGGGCACCAACUUUAACGGCUCAGAGAAAGAUUGGAACUCUUGGCACCCUUGUUUGGAAUGUCUUCCAAGUAGCUAAGGGUGAAUUUUCUUCAAUGAAAUAUAUUAAUUUAUAAGAAGGAAAGAUCAAAAAGCAUACAUUGUUUACAGAACCUUGAAGCAUUUGUGUUUCAACCAGCUCAGCAUUAGAAAGGAAUUUAUCUAAAAUGGGAAAUCACAUUUGGAAACAUUUAAACAACCGCUUCUGGGUCUGGAGAGGCGAUCUGUCGCAGCACGCGUCUGCAGGAACCCUGGUUCUGGAAAGGUUCACCAUGGAUCUGGUCCUGUUAGCGUUUCUGUGGGACACAGGGCUGGGAUCAGAGCAACAAUCACCUUUACAACUCAAGGAACCGGCUGUUGGUGAGUCUGUAGCCACAGGAUGCAUGUGCUGGGCAGUCCUUUCAUGACCCAACAGCUUCCACUGGCCUGAAGCCCUAAGCAGUACAAGGAAGAAAGAACAGUGUGAAUCGCUGGUUCUUGACGGAUGUGCCUUAGGUGAGGAGUGAGCGUGCUGAAUCUUCUACUGCAUCUGGAGGAGGAGAAGGAGCCUUGGUGACAUAGGCAGGUGCUUCUGCUUCAACCUUUGGUGCAAGUGAAUAAAGAAAGAAAUAAAGACACCAGAAAGCUGGGAGGUGCUGGAGAGGGAUCCAGGCAUAAACCUGGACGACAGAGAUGGAGCUGGUGAGGAUAAAAGUCACGCAGAAAAUGUUCUAGGGUGCAGAACCGAAGGUCUCUUGAGGACAGCUCUGCUACUUGUUUCUCAGGAAUUUUGAGUAAGAAAGUUACUUUACUCCUUUGGGCCUCUGUCCUCAUGUGUAGAAGUGGGCUAACAACCCCCCUCUACUCAAAUGCUAGGAUCAGGGAUAACACAGAUGAAGCAUUUUACUCCAGAGGGAUAAAUUGAUAUUAUUAUGAAGGAUCAAAACUUCACUUUUUUUUCUUUUUACAGCUGCACCUGUGGUGUAUGGAAGUUCCAGGGUCAGGGAUGGAAUUGUAGCUGCAGCUGGAGUCUAUGCCACAGCCACAACAAUACCAGAUCCAAGACGCAUCUGUGACCUACACCAUAGCUUGUGGCAAUGUCUGAUCAUUAACCCACUGAGCAAGGCCAGGGAUCAAACUCGCAUCCCCACAGACACUAUCUCCGUUUCUUAACCUGCUGAGUCACAAUAGGAACUGUGAAUCAGAACUUCAGAAUGCCUCCAAAAUGAAUUUAAAUGCCUCUUUGUCCCUAUUAUUAGGAUAAUGUGAAACUUUUAUUCAGAGUUUUGACUGUUCCCUUUUUAGCAUUUUUUAGGGCUGAAUCUGUUAUUUUAUAUAGUUUUAAGAGAGUGAACACUAUAUUUCUGUAAAGUAAUAAGUAGUGUUAGGCAUAAAAAACCCUGAAAUCUGCAUUUCCUUCUUGCACCAUUUUAACUUCCUAGUAGCUAUAAUCUUCAUGGUCCUCAGUUUCUCCACUCACUUUAAUAGUACAGGAGUGAAAGCUAUACUGUUGUUAAAGAGGGUGACCUGGUGCCUGGUGCAUAGUGAGCAUUCAAUGAAUUAAAAGAUAGGUAGAUAGAUAGAUGAUAGAUUGAUAAUAGAUCAAUGAUGGAGAGAUAUAAAAGAUAGAUAUAGAUAGACAAUUGAUAAACAAUAGAUGAUAUAAUUAGAUAAUUUUUUUGACCACACCUGUGGCAUGUGGAAAUUCCUAGGCCAGGCAUCAAAUCCCUGCCGCAGCAGUGACAAUGCCGUAUCCUUAACCUGCUGAGCCACAGGGAAAUCUAUUGAUAGAUAAUAGAUAGAUGAUUAUUGAACAAUAGAUAGUUGAUAGAUAAUAAACUGAUAGAUAGGAGUUAGAUAAUUACAUAUAUACAUAAUACAUAAUAGAUACACAAAUACACACAUAAUAUAUACAUACACACAUAUAUACAUAAUACAUAUAUAAAACAAGCAGUCCCUUGUAUGAUCACUCACCAUAUCUUGUCACCACUCACAACUGCUUUUUCUUUUGGUGUCUUGUCUUCUUAUUGACAGCAAACUCACACAGUCUAGGGAGAGAAGAGAAUGCCCUCAAGUAUUAAAACCCUAUAGCUAAUAUCAUAAUUAAUGGUAAUAGACUGAAUUCUUUCUCGCUAAUAUCAAAGAUAUUUUCUGUUUCCCUGUCUAUCCAUUAGUACUAGAACUAUUAUUAGAGGUACUAUCCAGUGCAUUAAAGCAAGAAAAAGAAAUAAAAGACUCAAUAUUGGAAAAUAAAUAAAAUACUUUAUAGAAAUCAUAAUCAUUUAUUUUAAAAAAUCUUUUGGAAUCUACAGGGAAAGCUACUAUGAUUUAUGAAUAAGCAUAACAAAGUUUCAGGAUAAAGAGCCAAUACUGAAAAAAUCACUGAAAAAUCAAGUGGAAGCUAGAUAAACUAUAUAUUUAACAAAACAUCAAAAACAUGAAAUACUUGGGAGGGAUAUAUUUGACUAAAGAUGGGCAAGACUUGAUCACUGAACACUACAAAAUGUAGCUGAGAGAAAUUAAGGGAGACUUGAACAAAUGAAGAGAGAUACUGUGAUCAUAGAUUGGAUAACUUCAUAUUGUGAAAGUGUGAACUUACCCCCAAAUUAAUCUAUGAAUUAAUGUAAUUCUAUUCAAAAUCUCAGCUGGCUUUUUUUUUUUUUUUUUUUUUUUAGAAAUUGACAAGCUGACUUUAAAAUUCAGGAAAUGUCAAAAUGACCUAGAAUAGACAAAACAACUUUGAAAAAGAACAAAUUUAGAGAACUUAAUACUACUUGGUUUCAAGACUUAUAAAGUUAGAAUAUGGGAGCUCCUGCUCUGGUGCCAUGGGUUAAGGAUCCAGAGGCACUGCUGCAGCUCUGGUUUAGGCUGCAGCUAUGGCUCGGAUUCAGUCCCUGACCUGGGAACUUCCAUGUGCUGUGGGUGUGGCAAUAAAUAAAUAAAUAAAUAAAUAAAUAAAUAAAGCUACAGACUUAAAGACAGUGUAGCAUUGGAAAAAAGAUAAGCAAAUGGAGUAAUGUAACAGCAGAGAAUGGAGUUCAAAAUAGACUGAUAUAUAUAUAUAAUCAAUUAUUUUAAACAAUGUUGGUGAGGUAGUUCAAUUGAGAAAUGCUAAUGAUUUAACUAAAUAGUGCUGAAACAACUGCAUAACAUAUUGAAAAAAAUGAAACUCAACCCCUACCUCAUAAUAUAUACGAAAAUUAACCCAAGAUGGAGAAAAACCUAAAAAUAAGACCUAAAACUUCCAGAAUAAGAUCUAGAAAAGCUUAGUGACUUUAUAUUUGGCAAAGUUUCUUAAAAAUAAAACAAAAGGCAUGGAACAACUGACAGUUUGGACUUCAAAAAAUAAAAACUUCUACUGUUCAAAAAAAAUGCUGUUAUGAAAAUAAAAGGCGAGGCACAUACCAGGAGAAAAUAUUGCAAAAUAGAUCUAACAGAGGAGUUCCCAUUGUGGCACAGCAGAAACGAAUCCCGCCAGUAUCCAUGAGGAUGUGGGUUCAAUCCCUGGCCUUGCUCAGUGGGUCAGGGAUCUGACUUUGCCAUGAGCUGCAGUGUAGGUUACAGAUGUGGCUUGGGUCCUGUGUUGCUGUGGCUGUGGCUGUGGCUGGGACUACAGCUCUGAUUUGAGCCCUAGACUGGGAACUUCCAUAUGCCAUCAUUGUGGCCCUAAAAAGAAAAAAAUGAAACAAAAUAUAUAUCUGACAAAGAAAUUGUACUUGGAAUAUAUAAAUAACUACAACUUAAUAACAAGAUGACAAACAAUUCAAUUGAAAAUGGGAAAAAGAUUUCAACCAAUAAUACAUCAGGGACAAUAAUACAUGGAUAGCAAAUAAGCAAAUGAAAAGAUGCUCAACCUCAUUAAUUAUUAAAGAAAGGCAAAUUAAAACCACAAUGAGAUACCAGUACACACCCAUUAGAACUACUAAAAUUCAAAAGGCUGACAAAACCAAGUGUUGGAGAGAAAGUAGAUCAGCUGGAAUGUCAUGCAUUGGGUGCAGAAAUGUAAGAUGGCACACUUUGGAAAACAGCUUCUAAAGAAAUUAGGAUGUGACUACCACAUGACCCUGCAAUGCCACUCCUAGGUAUUUACCCAUGAGAAAUGAAAGUAUAUGUCUAUGCCAAGACACAAAUGUUCAUGGCAGUUUAAUUUGCCAUCAGGACUGGUAUGGGGGCAAAGCAAGUGGGGUAUUUGUACAAACCUGAUAGUGAGCUCCUUCUUAAGUUUCAUGCACAAGGUGCCUUUCUCUUGCCCUCGUCUGGAUUCUGUUUAUGAUAGUCAACACUUGAAAACAAUCUAAACAUCCAUCUACAGAUGGGCGGUUAGAGAAUCUGCUACAUCCAUACCAUGAAGCAUGAUGCUGUGUUUGCUUCAACAGCAUAAAAACAGAUUCCUGCAUAAGGAUGACAUGCAAAUUUCUGAAGCGCUUCAUAUUUUUUAAGACAUAAGUCCUAAAAAUGUAAUAUACAGCAUAGUAAUAUGGUUAAUAAUAUUAUAUGUAUAUUUGAAAGUUGCUAAGAGAAUAGAUCUUAAAAGUUCUCAGCAAAAGGAAAAAAGUUGUAAAUGUGUGGGGUGAUGGAUGUUAACUAGAUUUACUGUGAUCAUUUCACAGUAUUUACAAUUAUCAAAUCAUUAAGCUGUACAAACUGAAACUAAUGUAAUGUUAUAGGGUGGUCAUAUCAAUACAAAAAGACAAAUUCUAUUCAGCAAUGAAAAGAGACAAAUUAUUGAUUCAUGCAGUAACAUGGAUAAAUUUCAAAACGAUUAUUCUGAGUGAAAGAAGUUAUAGACAAAAAGAAUACAUGAGUUAUGAAUUCCAUUUAUAUAAAACUUUAGAAAAUGUACUUAAUCUAUAGUGACAGAAAGAAGAUCAGUGGUUGCCAGGGAAAUGAGCAAGAAGUGGGGGGGGGGGAAUACCAAGGGGAAAAUAGGAAGUUUGGGGAGUGAUAGCAUAUGUUCACACCUUGACUGUACUGAUGGUUUCACAUCUGUAUACAUGUUAUACAUCAUUAAACUUCACUCUUCAGUAUGUGCUGUUUAUUCUAUGUCAAUUAUGUCUAAAUAAAGCUGUUAAAG